This is a long non-coding RNA of Anopheles coluzzii, 774 nucleotides long. RefSeq lists it as uncharacterized. The transcript is spliced from 3 exons. NCBI's taxonomy places the organism in Eukaryota, Metazoa, Arthropoda, Insecta, Diptera, Culicidae. The record is from RefSeq and is a predicted model, not a curated record.
CAUAAGCUACGUUGGCAAACACAGCUGUCAUAAAUGUACAUGCGUGGGAGUACACGAAGGGAAAAAAGUCAUUUUUGAUGAUGUGGAUGCUGAAUUGCGGACUGAGGAAAGCUUUAAAGGCAGGACGGAUAAGGAACAUCACAAAAGUUGGAAGUCACCUUUGGAAGAUGUGAGAAGGUAUUUGGCUCCUAAUUUUCUGUGGCUCGGAUGGAGCAUGGGUUGGACUACAUUCGUAUAAUUAGAAUCGUUUAGAUUAGAAUGCAUGCAGUAGUUUAUGUUAGUAUUAUUUUACUUGAAUGUUUAUUAGUAACUCAUUUUUAAAUAGCUAUAUCAAAUGAUGAUGAUUUACGUAGUUUGUAGUUAAAAAGGUUAUGCAUAGAUUUGAGCUGCGCGCGCGUGAAUGUGGGCUCUUCAAAUAGAUUUGAUCACCCACUCGCUUUUUCAUUCAAUAUGUUUUCGUUUCCUGCUCAAAUCUAUGCAUGGGAAAGAGGUGGGCAAUCUUCAUCAUCAUUUGAUAUGUUACUUAUUGUUUAGGAAGCUAUAACACUAACAAAAUAGUUUGUCUUGCCCAUUUUAAAUUCAUAUAAAUAGAAACUAAAAUAGUCACUACUGUUCAAUGAAUUCUAAUAAGUUAUAGUUAAUUGUAGCUUUUUAUCUUAGUGUAAUUAAAUUAGGCCGAUCUCGUAGUACAGUCGUCAACACGUACGACUUAACAAUAUGCCCGUUAUGGGUUAAAGCCCCAAAUGGAGCGGGCCGCCAUACGUAGCACUGACU